This 874-nucleotide ribosomal RNA is filed under the name Hygrophorus sp. MEL 2231742. RNAcentral describes it as "LSU rRNA". It matches the Rfam family "Eukaryotic large subunit ribosomal RNA", at positions 76 to 914 of the family's 3401-position model. Lineage: Eukaryota; Fungi; Basidiomycota; Agaricomycetes; Agaricales; Hygrophoraceae. The record is from RNAcentral.
UCCCCUAGUAACUGCGAGUGAAGCGGGAAAAGCUCAAAUUUAAAAUCUGGCGGCCUUUUGGCUGUCCGAGUUGUAAUCUAGAGAAGUGUUAUCCGCGCUGGACCGUGUACAAGUCUCCUGGAAUGGAGCGUCAUAGAGGGUGAGAAUCCCGUCUUUGACACGGACUACCAGGGCUUUGUGAUGCGCUCUCAAAGAGUCGAGUUGUUUGGGAAUGCAGCUCUAAAUGGGUGGUAAAUUCCAUCUAAAGCUAAAUAUUGGCGAGAGACCGAUAGCGAACAAGUACCGUGAGGGAAAGAUGAAAAGAACUUUGGAAAGAGAGUUAAACAGUACGUGAAAUUGUUGAAAGGGAAACGCUUGAAGUCAGUCGCGUUGUCCAGGGAUCAACCUUGCUUUUUNNNNNNNNNNNNNNUUUUUUGCUUGGCGUACUUCCUGGUUAACGGGUCAGCAUCAAUUUUGACCGGUGGAUAAAGGUCAGGGGAAUGUGACAUCUUCGGAUGUGUUAUAGCCCUUGGUUGCAUACAUCGGUUGGGAUUGAGGAACUCAGCACGCCGAAAGGCCGGGUUUUUAACCACGUUCGUGCUUAGGAUGCUGGCAUAAUGGCUUUAAUCGACCCGUCUUGAAACACGGACCAAGGAGUCUAACAUGCAUGCGAGUGUUUGGGUGGAAAACCCGAGCGCGCAAUGAAAGUGAAAAUUGAGAUCCCUGUCGUGGGGAGCAUCGAUGCCCGGACCAGACCUUCUGUGACGGAUCCGCGGUUGAGCAUGUAUGCUGGGACCCGAAAGAUGGUGAACUAUGCCUGAAUAGGGUGAAGCCAGAGGAAACUCUGGUGGAGGCUCGUAGCGAUUCUGACGUGCAAAUCGAUCGUCGAAUUUGG